GAUGAACGCUGGCGGCGUGCCUAAUACAUGCAAGUCGAGCGAACGGACGAGAAGCUUGCUUCUCUGAUGUUAGCGGCGGACGGGUGAGUAACACGUGGAUAACCUACCUAUAAGACUGGGAUAACUUCGGGAAACCGGAGCUAAUACCGGAUAAUAUUUUGAACCGCAUGGUUCAAAAGUAAAAGACGGUCUUGCUGUCACUUAUAGAUGGAUCCGCGCUGCAUUAGCUAGUUGGUAAGGUAACGGCUUACCAAGGCAACGAUGCAUAGCCGACCUGAGAGGGUGAUCGGCCACACUGGAACUGAGACACGGUCCAGACUCCUACGGGAGGCAGCAGUAGGGAAUCUUCCGCAAUGGGCGAAAGCCUGACGGAGCAACGCCGCGUGAGUGAUGAAGGUCUUCGGAUCGUAAAACUCUGUUAUUAGGAAGAACAUAUGUGUAAGUAACUGUGCACAUCUUGACGGUACCUAAUCAGAAAGCCACGGCUAACUACGUG
Molecule: ribosomal RNA, 496 nt
Filed under: uncultured bacterium
Lineage: Bacteria
Description: partial 16S ribosomal RNA
Rfam family: Bacterial small subunit ribosomal RNA
Source: RNAcentral